GACGAACGCUGGCGGCGUGCCUAAUACAUGCAAGUCGAGCGAAUCAUUAGGAGCUUGCUCCUGAUGGUUAGCGGCGGACGGGUGAGUAACACGUGGGCAACCUGCCUAUAAGACUGGGAUAACUUCGGGAAACCGGAGCUAAUACCGGAUAAUCCUUUUCCACACAUGUGGGAAAGCUGAAAGACGGUUUCGGCUGUCACUUAUAGAUGGGCCCGCGGCGCAUUAGCUAGUUGGGGAGGUAAUGGCUCACCAAGGCGACGAUGCGUAGCCGACCUGAGAGGGUGAUCGGCCACACUGGGACUGAGACACGGCCCAGACUCCUACGGGAGGCAGCAGUAGGGAAUCUUCCGCAAUGGACGAAAGUCUGACGGAGCAACGCCGCGUGAACGAUGAAGGCCUUCGGGUCGUAAAGUUCUGUUGUUAGGGAAGAACAAGUAUCGGAGUAACUGCCGGUACCUUGACGGUACCUAACCAGAAAGCCACGGCUAACUACGUGCCAGCAGCCGCGGUAA
This 512-nucleotide ribosomal RNA is filed under the name uncultured bacterium. RNAcentral describes it as "partial 16S ribosomal RNA". It matches the Rfam family "Bacterial small subunit ribosomal RNA", at positions 28 to 523 of the family's 1533-position model. The record is from RNAcentral.